AUUCCAGCUCCAGUAGCGUAUAUUAAAGUUGUUGCAGUUAAAAAGCUCGUAGUUGGAUUUCUGGUUUGACAUAACUGACCCGCUACUUUUUGUGGUGAGUGUCGGCCUUGUGUCUGCCAUCCUUCUAGAAAACGGUCUACCCUUCACUGGGCCGGACUCGCGAUCUAGAGCUUUUACUUUGAAGAAAUUAGAGUGUUCAAAGCAGGCUUGCGCUAUGAAUACAUUAGCAUGGAAUAAUAACUUAGGACUUCGGUUCUAUUUUGUUGGUUUCUAGAACUGAAGUAAUGAUUGAUAGGGAUAGUUGGGGGUGCUAGUAUUCAACGGCCAGAGGUGAAAUUCUUGGAUUCGUUGAAGACUUACUUAUGCGAAAGCAUUCACCAAGGAUGUCUUCAUUA
This 395-nucleotide ribosomal RNA is filed under the name Imbricatea sp. Its description in RNAcentral is "partial small subunit ribosomal RNA". It matches the Rfam family "Eukaryotic small subunit ribosomal RNA", at positions 582 to 975 of the family's 1831-position model. The record is from RNAcentral. Lineage: Eukaryota; Cercozoa; Imbricatea.